UAGAGUUUGAUCCUGGCUCAGAUUGAACGCUGGCGGUAUGCUUAGCACAUGCAAGUCGAACGGAAACGAUGGAAGCUUGCUUCCAGGCGUCGAGUGGCGGUCGGGUGAGUAACGCGUAGGAAUCUGCCUGAUAGUGGGGGAUAGCCCGGAGAAAUUCGGAUUAAUACCGCAUAAUCUCUACGGAGUAAAGGAGGCCUCUAUUUAUAUGCUUUCGCUAUCAGAUGAGCCUGCGUAAGAUUAGCUAGUUGGUGAGGUAAAGGCUCACCAAGGCGACGAUCUUUAGCUGGUCUGAGAGGAUGAUCAGCCACACUGGGACUGAGACACGGCCCAGACUCCUACGGGAGGCAGCAGUGGGGAAUAUUGGACAAUGGGCGCAAGCCGGAUCCANCAAUACCGCGUGUGUGAAGAAGGCCUGAGGGUUGUAAAGCACUUCCAAUUGU
RNAcentral lists this ribosomal RNA (440 nucleotides) under uncultured marine bacterium. RNAcentral's name for it is "bacterial SSU rRNA". It matches the Rfam family "Bacterial small subunit ribosomal RNA", at positions 1 to 443 of the family's 1533-position model. The record is from RNAcentral.